RNAcentral lists this ribosomal RNA (252 nucleotides) under Tetraselmis striata. RNAcentral's name for it is "partial Eukaryotic large subunit ribosomal RNA". It matches the Rfam family "Eukaryotic large subunit ribosomal RNA", at positions 2273 to 2526 of the family's 3401-position model. Lineage: Eukaryota; Viridiplantae; Chlorophyta; Chlorodendrophyceae; Chlorodendrales; Chlorodendraceae. The record is from RNAcentral.
CCGAAGGCAGCCAAAUGCCUCGCAAUCUAAUCGGUGAGAGGCAUGAAUGGAUUAACGAGAUUCCCACCGUCCCUCUCCACUAUGUAGCGAAACCACGGCGAAGGGAAGGGGCCCGGAACAAACAGCGGGGACAGAAGACCGUGUUGAGCUGGCCCCUAAUCCGACUUUGUGAAACGACUGAAGAGGUGUAGAAUGAGCGGGAGCUGCGGCGCCGGUGAAAUACCACUACUUUUAACGUUAUUUUACUUAUUC